Long non-coding RNA from Bufo bufo (common toad), 151 nucleotides. RefSeq lists it as uncharacterized. The record is from RefSeq and is a predicted model, not a curated record. NCBI's taxonomy places the organism in Eukaryota, Metazoa, Chordata, Amphibia, Anura, Bufonidae. The transcript is spliced from 3 exons.
GGCCCCUUUCAGACAAACGAGUUCCAUGCAUCUGACUCGCAGUGUGAGUAUGCGGCAGCUCCCGUCCUGACGGGGUCUCAUAGCAUUAUAUUGAUUUAUGAUGCUAUGUAACCCUAAGGCUACAUGCAAAACAGCUUUCCUGCCGCAGCAA